RNAcentral lists this ribosomal RNA (426 nucleotides) under uncultured prokaryote. RNAcentral describes it as "bacterial SSU rRNA". It matches the Rfam family "Bacterial small subunit ribosomal RNA", at positions 355 to 774 of the family's 1533-position model. The record is from RNAcentral.
UGGGGAAUCUUGCGCAAUGGGCGGAAGCCUGACGCAGCAACGCCGCGUGAGCGAAGACGGCCUUCGGGUUGUAAAGCUCUGUCAGGAGGGACGAAGCCACUCGGGUGAAUAGCCUAGAGGGUGACGGUACCUCCAGAGGAAGCCCCGGCUAACUACGUGCCAGCAGCCGCGGUAAUACGUAGGGGGCGAGCGUUGUCCGGAAUCAUUGGGCGUAAAGCGCGUGUAGGCGGCCAUGCAAGUCCGAUGUGAAAGCUCGGGGCUCAACUCCGAGUCUGCAUUGGAAACUGCGUGGCUUGAGUCCGGAAGAGGAGACUGGAAUUCCUGGUGUAGCGGUGAAAUGCGCAGAUAUCAGGAAGAACACCGGUGGCGAAGGCGGGUCUCUGGGACGGUACUGACGCUGAGACGCGAAAGCUAGGGUAGCAAACG